UGUCAUAUCAUCCGGGUAAAGAGCUGCUACUACCUUCCAGCCUAAAUCACUCACCCAGUGCCUAGCUGGAUCAUGCUCUCGCCCAUUGGCCAAUAUUACGUACUGCUGCCUCGCGCAAGAUUCUGGAGCUCGUGUCUCACCCCCAGAGUGUGCGUAGCUCAUCCUCA
This 167-nucleotide ribosomal RNA is filed under the name bacterium MF7. Its description in RNAcentral is "partial 16S ribosomal RNA". The record is from RNAcentral.